RNAcentral lists this non-coding RNA (490 nucleotides) under Lodderomyces elongisporus NRRL YB-4239. Its description in RNAcentral is "Eukaryotic small subunit ribosomal RNA". It matches the Rfam family "Eukaryotic small subunit ribosomal RNA", at positions 606 to 1116 of the family's 1831-position model. Lineage: Eukaryota; Fungi; Ascomycota; Pichiomycetes; Serinales; Debaryomycetaceae. The record is from Rfam by way of RNAcentral.
AAAGUUGUUGCAGUUAAAAAGCUCGUAGUUGAACCUUGCGCUUGUUUGGCCGGUCCAUCUUUUUGAUGCGCACUGGACCCAACCGAGCCUUUCCUUCUGGCUAGUUCUUGUCGCGAAUCUUUUCUUUUACUUUGAAAAAAUUAGAGUGUUCAAAGCAGGCCUUUGCUCGAAUAUAUUAGCAUGGAAUAAUAGAAUAGGACGUUAUGGUUCUAUUUUGUUGGUUUCUAGGACCAUCGUAAUGAUUAAUAGGGACGGUCGGGGGUAUCAGUAUUCAGUAGUCAGAGGUGAAAUUCUUGGAUUUACUGAAGACUAACUACUGCGAAAGCAUUUACCAAAGACGUUUUCAUUAAUCAAGAACGAAUGUUAGGGGAUCGAAGAUGAUCAGAUACCGUCGUAGUCUUAACCAUAAACUAUGCCGACUAGGGAUCGGUUGUCGUUCUUUUAUUGACGCAAUCGGCACCUUACGAGAAAUCAAAGUCUUUGGGUUCUG